CCUACGGGUGGCAGCAGUGGGGAAUAUUGGACAAUGGGCGAAAGCCUGAUCCAGCCAUGCCGCGUGUGUGAAGAAGGCCUUCGGGUUGUAAAGCACUUUCAGUGGGGAAGAAAGCCUUGGGGCUAAUACCCUCGAGGAAGGACAUCACCCACAGAAGAAGCACCGGCUAACUCCGUGCCAGCAGCCGCGGUAAUACGGAGGGUGCGAGCGUUAAUCGGAAUUACUGGGCGUAAAGCGCGCGUAGGCGGUCUGAUAAGCCGGUUGUGAAAGCCCCGGGCUCAACCUGGGAACGGCAUCCGGAACUGUCAGGAUAGAGUGCAGGAGAGGAAGGUAGAAUUCCCGGUGUAGCGGUGAAAUGCGUAGAGAUCGGGAGGAAUACCAGUGGCGAAGGCGGCCUUCUGGACUGACACUGACGCUGAGGUGCGAAAGCGUGGGUAGCAAACAGGAUUAGAUACCCUUGUAGUC
This 465-nucleotide ribosomal RNA is filed under the name Vreelandella stevensii. RNAcentral's name for it is "partial 16S ribosomal RNA". It matches the Rfam family "Bacterial small subunit ribosomal RNA", at positions 338 to 795 of the family's 1533-position model. Lineage: Bacteria; Pseudomonadati; Pseudomonadota; Gammaproteobacteria; Oceanospirillales; Halomonadaceae. The record is from RNAcentral.